AUUUACAAAUAAAAUGCAUGUUGCAUUUAUUGCUUUGAGAUAAGAAGAAGUACUACACAGUUUGUCACCGCAGAUAAGCAGUCCUCACCAUGGAUUACCUGAAAAGAGGUUGAUCAUGGUGACAAUGAGACACCAGCACCUGUCACAAUGUACACGGAGUACCUACACGGACACGGACGCAGACUACUAGUAAAAUGGGGGUCGUUUCAAAGGUGUAUUUAUAUGCACAGGGGUCAAAUACUAGUGCUAUAGGUGCGGAUAUGUUUAUAUAUAGUUUAUAACAUGCAUAUUCGUUAGCAAUAUUAAUUCAAAGUAUCCAUUUCAAUUUGUACGACAAGCAAACACAUAUGAAAAUUGAUCACAGCUACAUAUUAUGCAUACACAAUGUAUAUGUAUACUGGUAUUUAAAAUAACCACUGUUUGUUGGACACUAGCGGUCGCUAAGCUAACUCUAUGUUGAUAUGGAAGCACAGAGUUUCACUAUGCAAUAAAUGAAGAAAAAAACUAUUACCAUGUGCGUUUGGUUUAUUCUAUUUUUUUUUAUCAAAGAUAUGUAUUUCCAAGCCUAUCGCCUUCAACUGAAAAGUCGACGUCGUCGAACUGCUAAUGCGGCACAAAUCUCCACAAUUGACGAAAUGUACCAUCUUGGAUGGCGCCAAAGUGUUCCUAUGGCCCGGUAAAUUUUCAAUUCCCUGAUACCGUGCUCAACUUUAACCCUAAAACUAGUCAUAAUGUAAUUAAGUUUAGUAUAUUUCCGUUGCAUAUAUGGUGGCACUGCUCGUAUCUGAUUUGUUUUAAAGGGAGUCAUAAAAGGAUACCUGUUGGGGAAGAUUUUAUCUGCAAGAAGAACACAGUUAUCAGGAAAGUCUAAUUCCAUAUUAAGUCCAAUGUCAGGUAUGAGGUUGACAAUUUGUGCAUCGUUUUGGUGGCCUAAGAACCCACUUCUAACAAAGCGAAGGAUCCCCAUGUUGUCUACGAUGACCAUUGUGUGAAUGCAAUGGCAGUGCCUAUGACCGCUAUAAUACAAUCCCUGUGGUUCGAUUGAGGGCCUAUAUAUCACAUGGGAUGUACCGUCGAUAGCUCCCACUGAAUCGGAUAAUUUCUCCCAACCUCCUCUCAUGUCCCGCCAUUCCUGUCGUGUUGGCCAUACCACUCCAUCCGCAUAUACAUCCCACAUAAUAUUUCUCAUUUUAUUAAGUUCUUCAGCAACAGUGGAAGAUGAAAUUUCAAACAUUAAGGAUAAAAAUGACAAAGUGGGAUAUGAACGCAACCAGAUCAAAAACAGCAGU
Pecten maximus is the source of this 1289-nucleotide RNA transcript. RefSeq lists it as uncharacterized. The record is from RefSeq and is a predicted model, not a curated record. The transcript has 3 exons. NCBI's taxonomy places the organism in Eukaryota, Metazoa, Mollusca, Bivalvia, Pectinida, Pectinidae.